Microtus oregoni (creeping vole) is the source of this 107-nucleotide small nuclear RNA. The record is from RefSeq and is a predicted model, not a curated record. Lineage: Eukaryota; Metazoa; Chordata; Mammalia; Rodentia; Cricetidae.
GUGCUCACUUCAGCAGCACAUAUACUAAAAUUGGAACGAUUUAGAGAAGAUUAGCAUGGCCCCUGUGUAAAAAUGACACGCAAAUUCAUGGAGCAUUCCAUAUUUAA